Molecule: long non-coding RNA, 1023 nt
Filed under: Pogona vitticeps (central bearded dragon)
Lineage: Eukaryota; Metazoa; Chordata; Lepidosauria; Squamata; Agamidae
Description: lncRNA (ENSPVIG00000004539.1)
Source: RNAcentral
GCUGACCUUGUGGGAAAAGAUUGGAAACUUAUUUUAUCAAAUGUGUAUUUAUUUUAAUUUUUUUUAGGAGAAAUCUUCAGUAGCCAGGUCUCCAGUAAACAACCUUAACCACUUGACUGUCGAAAUAGCUGUAAAGCAGCAACAAUUUGUGGGGGACUCGUCACCUGGCCUAUGUAGGUCUGUGUUUUGCAAAGAGCCAACUCCUAACAACUGAAGAGAGAUUGACUUGGUUAGACCACAGAAACUGUCUACGGACAAACGCUGGCUCUACGGCUUGGAAACAGGGAUGACCUGAGUCGGACACGACUGGACUAAAUGUCAAGGGGAACCUUUACCUUUAAAGUCCAAAACACACAGAAAUCUGGAGAACACAAUUGAAUUGGCCACAAGGAUCUUGUUGGCAGAACCACACUUACAGAAGAUCAUUGUGAUGAAAACAACAGUACGGACAGUUUUACAGGUCAACAUGAAUAAGAAAUAAAACAAUCAACUCUUAAGGUCCAUGGAUCAAUACAUUCUAUAUACUUUGACAAGUCAGGCUUCCCACAUUGUACUUCAGACUGUACCACACACUGGAUAAAAGGUAUGUAUCUGUCAUGUAUAUUUGACUGCUGUAAGUGAAACGUAAGGAAUACAUUUAAAAAACAUGAGCCUGGGCAUGAAGAUGUCUGACUUUCACUUCUGCACUAAAAGCUGUAUCUUUUUUGUUUAUUGAAAUGUAGUGCUGAUUUACUGUAUAUGCUUGAAACACACCAGUAAUAUCUAGGAGUUCGUAAUAUACAGACCAUACCUGUAAUUUUAUUUGCAAAUUGUCAUGAAAAAAAAUAUAAAAAGAUGUCCCUUUUAUUUUACAAACCUAAAAGCUGGGGCGCGGGGGUAGAGAGAGGAGGGGGAUAAGAUAAAGCUUUGGGACCUCAGCUAAACAUAAUGCUGUAAUACCCAACAAAAUAGCAAUGUUCCAGCCAGAGGACAGAUGUACUAAAUUCAAAUAAAACACUGAUGGAAAUUUGUAUUUGAAAUUAG